This 717-nucleotide ribosomal RNA is filed under the name Bakeriella sp. Its description in RNAcentral is "partial large subunit ribosomal RNA". The record is from RNAcentral. Lineage: Eukaryota; Metazoa; Arthropoda; Insecta; Hymenoptera; Bethylidae.
AAGAUCGAAUGGGGAGAUUCAUCGUCAGCGAUGCUGGCUUCGUGAUGGCUCGUGAUGCCUGGGAUCUCGGUCCCGAGGCACGCGAUCGUUGCGUUGCGUCCGGCAGCGUCGGCGUGCACUUCUCCCCUAGUAGAACGUCGCGACCCGUUGGGUGCCGAUCUAACAGUCUGGGCGGAUGCCUUGUGCAUUAUUCGCAGACCCCCAGUGCUAAAGAAUCCGGCUGCCCGGCGGUACUCUUAUGGUAUCCGGCCGCAAAUUCGAACUGCGUCGGGCCCGCUUGCCCCGGAUAACCGUGCCAGGUGGUAUUUGACUAAGUGCCGUCCACUCUGGCAUGAUCGUGCAGACGAAUGGGUAUCCUCCGACUGGCCGUGCUUCUCAAAUGUGAUACCGGUCGGCGACGCUACUGCUUUGGGUAAUCUCAGGACCCGUCUUGAAACACGGACCAAGGAGUCUAACAUGUGCGCGAGUCAUUGGGACUGCAUGCCUAAAGGCGAAAUGAAAGUGAAGAUCGGCCUUCGCGUCGAUCGAGGGAGGAUGGGCCGCGUUAAGAUGCGGCUCCGCACUCCCGGGGCGUCUCGUUCUCAUUCGAGAAGAGGCGCACCCAGAGCGUACACGUUGGGACCCGAAAGAUGGUGAACUAUGCCUGGUCAGGACGAAGUCAGGGGAAACCCUGAUGGAGGUCCGUAGCGAUUCUGACGUGCAAAUCGAUCGUCGRAA